This is a small nuclear RNA of Cannabis sativa, 101 nucleotides long. Lineage: Eukaryota; Viridiplantae; Streptophyta; Magnoliopsida; Rosales; Cannabaceae. The record is from RefSeq and is a predicted model, not a curated record.
GUUUUUUCAGAAUAUCUGUUAAAAUUAAUACAAUAAAAAGAAAAUUAACAUGACCCCUGCGUAAGGAUGACACAUACAAAUUAAAAAUAUAUAUAUAUAAU